GCAUCUGUGCAUGCAGCAUAUCAAUAAGCGGAGGAAAAGAGGGCUAUUACCUACGCUUAGGAUGUUGACACACGCGCGUGCUCGACUCUAUACAUGACUCUGUGCAUAUCAAUAAGCGGAGGAAAAGAAACUAACAAGGAUUCCCUUAGUAACGGCGAGUGAAGCGGGAAGAGCUCAAAUUUGAAAUCUUCAAGGUUUUACCUUGACGAAUUGUAGUUUAAAGAAGUGUUUUCUGUUGAAGUUUUGGUAAAAGUUCUUUGGAAUAGGACAUCAUAGAGGGUGAGAAUCCCGUAUUUGACCAUUAUUUUCAGCUGUGUGAUACACUUUCAAAGAGUCGGAUUGUUUGGGAAUGCAGUCCAAGAUGGGUGGUAAAUUUCAUCUAAAGCUAAAUAUUGGCGAGAGACCGAUAGCGAACAAGUACCGUGAGGGAAAGAUGAAAAGAACUUUGAAAAGAGAGUUAAACAGUACGUGAAAUUGUCAAAAGGGAAGCGUUUGACACCAGUGUUGUUUUCUCGAAAAUCAAUUAAAAAGAGUUUAGAUUUUGUUGUGUAUUGACCUUAACAGCUUGCAUUUCAAUUUUCUUGCUUUUUUUAAUGCACUUUUCGUUUAACAAGUCAACAUCAGUUUCUUUUGUUGUAAAAAGGUCAUUGGAAGGUGGCUUUCUUUUCGGAGAAAGUGUUUAUAGCCUUUGACUCCUGCAAUCGGAGAGACUGAGGUCUGCAGCGUAGAUCCUUCGGGGUUAGAUACAUUUGUGCUAAGUUAUAGCUUUUUAUAGACAACUUGUUGACUAUGAUUAGUCUUGUAGCUUACUCGCUUAUGCUAUUUUACCUACGCUUAGGAUGUUGACACACGCGCGUGCUCG
Molecule: ribosomal RNA, 862 nt
Filed under: uncultured Neocallimastigales
Lineage: Eukaryota; Fungi; Neocallimastigomycota; Neocallimastigomycetes; Neocallimastigales
Description: partial large subunit ribosomal RNA
Rfam family: Eukaryotic large subunit ribosomal RNA
Source: RNAcentral